This 346-nucleotide unclassified non-coding RNA is filed under the name soil metagenome. Its description in RNAcentral is "partial contains 5.8S ribosomal RNA, internal transcribed spacer 2, and large subunit ribosomal RNA". The stretch from base 1 to 120 matches the Rfam family "5.8S ribosomal RNA", at positions 35 to 154 of the family's 154-position model. The record is from RNAcentral.
GAUGAAGAACGCAGCGAAAUGCGAUACGUAAUGUGAAUUGCAAAUUCAGUGAAUCAUCGAGUCUUUGAACGCACAUUGCGCCCCCUGGUAUUCCGGGGGGGCAUGCCUGUCCGAGCGUCAUUGCUGCCCUCAAGCACGGCUUGUGUGUUGGGCCCCGUCCUCCGAUCCCGGGGGACGGGCCCGAAAGGCAGCGGCGGCACCGCGUCCGGUCCUCGAGCGUAUGGGGCUUUGUCACCCGCUCUGUAGGCCCGGCCGGCGCUUGCCGAUCAACCCAAAUUUUUAUCCAGGUUGACCUCGGAUCAGGUAGGGAUACCCGCUGAACUUAAGCAUAUCAAUAAGCGGAGGA